This 253-nucleotide ribosomal RNA is filed under the name uncultured bacterium. Its description in RNAcentral is "partial 16S ribosomal RNA". It matches the Rfam family "Bacterial small subunit ribosomal RNA", at positions 524 to 776 of the family's 1533-position model. The record is from RNAcentral.
UACGGAGGGGGCGAGCGUUAUUCGGAAUUAUUGGGCGUAAAGGGCGCGUAGGCGGCCCGGUAAGUCAAAGGUGAAAUCCCUCGGCUCAACUGAGGAACUGCCUUUGAAACUGUCGGGCUUGAGGCCGGGAGGGGGUAGCGGAAUUCCCAGUGUAGCGGUGAAAUGCGUAGAUAUUGGGAGGAACACCGGUGGCGAAGGCGGCAUUCUGGACCAAUACUGACGCUGAGGAGCGAAAGCCAGGGGAGCAAACGGG